UCCCUGGUGGCUCAGAGGUUAAAGCGUCUGCCUGCAAUGCGGGAGACCUGGGUUUGAUCCCUGGGUUGGGAA
Transfer RNA from Ovis aries (sheep), 72 nucleotides. It matches the Rfam family "tRNA". Rfam says of the family: Transfer RNA (tRNA) molecules are approximately 80 nucleotides in length. Their secondary structure includes four short double-helical elements and three loops (D, anti-codon, and T loops). Further hydrogen bonds mediate the characteristic L-shaped molecular structure. tRNAs have two regions of fundamental functional importance: the anti-codon, which is responsible for specific mRNA codon recognition, and the 3' end, to which the tRNAs corresponding amino acid is attached (by aminoacyl-tRNA synthetases). tRNAs cope with the degeneracy of the genetic code in two manners: having more than one tRNA (with a specific anti-codon) for a particular amino acid; and 'wobble' base-pairing, i.e. permitting non-standard base-pairing at the 3rd anti-codon position. The record is from Rfam. Lineage: Eukaryota; Metazoa; Chordata; Mammalia; Artiodactyla; Bovidae.